GACAGAGGUGCCAAGCGUUAGGCGGAAUCACUGGGCUUAAAGCGUGUGUAGGCGGAAUGGUAAGUACCUUGUGAAAUCCCACGGCUCAACCGUGGAACUGCUUGGUAUACUGCUUUUCUUGAGCCACUUAGGGGCAACCGGAACAAACGGUGGAGCGGUGAAAUGCGUAGAUAUCGUUUGGAACGCCAAUGGUGAAAACAGGUUGCUGGGAGUGUGCUGACGCUGAGACACGAAGGCCAGGGGAGCAAACGGG
Molecule: ribosomal RNA, 253 nt
Filed under: uncultured bacterium
Lineage: Bacteria
Description: partial 16S ribosomal RNA
Rfam family: Bacterial small subunit ribosomal RNA
Source: RNAcentral